AUUGAACGCUGGCGGAAUGCUUUACACAUGCAAGUCGAACGGCAGCACGGACUUCGGUCUGGUGGCGAGUGGCGAACGGGUGAGUAAUGUAUCGGAACGUGCCCAGUCGUGGGGGAUAACGUAGUGAAAAUUACGCUAAUACCGCAUACGAUCUAUGGAUGAAAGCGGGGGAUCGCAAGACCUCGCGCGAUUGGAGCGGCCGAUAUCAGAUUAGGUAGUUGGUGGGGUAAAGGCCCACCAAGCCAACGAUCUGUAGCUGGUCUGAGAGGACGACCAGCCACACUGGAACUGAGACACGGUCCAGACUCCUACGGGAGGAAGCAGUGGGGAAUUUUGGACAAUGGGCGAAGGCCUGAUCCAGCCAUUCCGCGUGCAGGAUGAAGGCCCUCGGGUUGUAAACUGCUUUUGUACAGAACGAAAAGGUUUCUACUAAUACUAGGAGCUCAUGACGGUACUGUAAGAAUAAGCACCGGCUAACUACGUGCCAGCAGCAGCCGCCG
RNAcentral lists this ribosomal RNA (500 nucleotides) under uncultured bacterium. RNAcentral describes it as "partial 16S ribosomal RNA". It matches the Rfam family "Bacterial small subunit ribosomal RNA", at positions 30 to 523 of the family's 1533-position model. The record is from RNAcentral.